Molecule: long non-coding RNA, 794 nt
Organism: Magnolia sinica
Lineage: Eukaryota; Viridiplantae; Streptophyta; Magnoliopsida; Magnoliales; Magnoliaceae
Exons: 5
Source: RefSeq, a predicted model, not a curated record
UCUUCUAAAAACCCUCUCAAGAACCUUCCAAAAACCUCUCAGCUUCUCUUAUAAGAAGUCUUCUGCAAUCUCCGAAAACUCGAACCAGCAUUCGAAAUUCGAGCAUUCUUCUCUACGAUUUUCUUCGUCGGCUUCGUGGAAAAGUGAUUUCAGAAUUUCUGAAGACCCGUUUCGAAGUGGGAAUCCACAGGCAUAAGCCAUGGUGACAAUGCUUUCGUCUGUGGCCUUCGGCUUCAAUCCGGGCGUUGCCUUUUCUUACAUUGAUUAAAGGCUUCAAGAUGUUUCGGGCCAUUUCCAGAAGGAUUUCGAGAGAGAGAUUUCUGCAGAUAAUCUGGGGCCAAAAUUUGGUCAGUAUAGAUCAUUUUUACCAAUGCUUCUAAGGAAUCCUCUUACACAAUCACAACCAAAGAGUCUUGCGAGUGUACAGAGUAGCAAUAUCCCCAAAUUGCUUAAGAAAUUUGAGAAUACUUCACUUUCUCCCGCUUCUGAUUUUCUUUGCUUAAAAGAAAAAGACAAUCCUUCCACAAGGAGUAGUAAGAUAAGGAUUGAUUAUGGUGAAACAAAAUUACAGAAGCCUACUCAAGAUUCGAAGAGAAUUGGGCCAUCACUUGCAUUUGAAGGUGACUCAUUUAUUCUAGAAAAAAAAGUACACAAGUAGUAUGUGAAGCUAAAAUUGUCAAAAUGUUGUUGUAAAGGUUAGCUUUUUUCUGAAUAUAUUUAAUUUGCUGUGUUCUUAUUGGAAUAUAUUUUCCUUAUGUCUUGUUUUCCAUCCAUUUUUAGUUAUUUUUUUAGAU